UACGUAGGGAGCAAGCGUUGUCCGGAAUCAUUGGGCGUAAAGCGCGCGUAGGCGGCCCUGUAAGUCCGCUGUGAAAGUCAAAGGCUCAACCUUUGAAAGCCGGUGGAUACUGCAGGGCUAGAGUCCGGAAGAGGCGAGUGGAAUUCCUGGUGUAGCGGUGAAAUGCGUAGAUAUCAGGAGGAAUACCGGUGGCGAAAGCGACUCUCUGGACGGCAACUGACGCUGAGGCACGAAAGCGUGGGGAGCGAACAGG
RNAcentral lists this ribosomal RNA (253 nucleotides) under uncultured bacterium. Its description in RNAcentral is "partial 16S ribosomal RNA". It matches the Rfam family "Bacterial small subunit ribosomal RNA", at positions 524 to 776 of the family's 1533-position model. The record is from RNAcentral.